AUCGCUUCUCGGCCUUUUGGCUAAGAUCAAGUGUAGGAAAAGGAAGUAUAAAAAGUUUUCAUAUGCUAAUUUCUAUAUGAAAAAUAGGUUUGGUAUUGAGAAAUAAUUACUUCAUAGUUAUUUGACAAUUGACUGUGUCUCACUUCUAACAAUACUGUUUUAGGCCAA
Rattus norvegicus (Norway rat) is the source of this 168-nucleotide small nuclear RNA. Ensembl annotates it as U2 spliceosomal RNA. NCBI's taxonomy places the organism in Eukaryota, Metazoa, Chordata, Mammalia, Rodentia, Muridae. The record is from Ensembl.